UGGGGAAUUGUUCACAAUGGGCGCAAGCCUGAUGACGCAACGCCGCGUGGGGGAUGAAGGUCUUCGGAUCGUAAACCCCUGUCGAAUGGGACGAAAGACUCGCGAGUGAAUACUUCGCGAGAGUGACGGUACCGUUAAAGGAAGCCACGGCUAACUCUGUGCCAGCAGCCGCGGUAAUACAGAGGUGGCAAGCGUUGUUCGGAAUUACUGGGCGUAAAGGGCGCGUAGGCGGCCCUCUAAGUCAGACGUGAAAUCCCCCGGCUUAACCUGGGAACUGCGUCUGAUACUGGAGGGCUUGAGUAUGGGAGAGGGAUGUAGAAUUCCAGGUGUAGCGGUGAAAUGCGUAGAUAUCUGGAGGAAUACCGGUGGCGAAGGCGGCAUCCUGGACCAUUACUGACGCUGAGGCGCGAAAGCUAGGGGAGCAAACGGGAUUAGAUACCCAGGUAGUCCCUGAGCGGGCUGGCAAGGCGCAU
This 473-nucleotide ribosomal RNA is filed under the name uncultured bacterium. RNAcentral's name for it is "bacterial SSU rRNA". It matches the Rfam family "Bacterial small subunit ribosomal RNA", at positions 355 to 825 of the family's 1533-position model. The record is from RNAcentral.